This 634-nucleotide long non-coding RNA is filed under the name Homo sapiens (human). RNAcentral's name for it is "HSALNT0034036". Lineage: Eukaryota; Metazoa; Chordata; Mammalia; Primates; Hominidae. The record is from RNAcentral.
GCCUGAGGUAGCCUGUGGGAAAACGAAACAGCACCAUUGACCUAGUCUUUCAGCCAAUCCCACUGCAUUUGUACAAUGCAGUCUGACACCAGAGGAACUGCCCAGCCAAGCUCAGGCAAAAUUGCUGACUUCAGACUCAUGAACUAAAUAAAUAUUUGUUUCAUUUGGUGGUUGUUCUUAUGCAACAUUAUGCUGGCACUAGAAAAAUGAAACAGAUGGGAAUCAAAAAGACUGAAUGAAGCAGAAACCCAGAAGCUACCCCACAAGCAAUCACAUGGGACUCAGAUGUGAAUGGACAAUAAGCUUUUAUUGCAUUGAAAGGUCAUUGCAGUGAAAGGUUGGGGAUUGCUUGCUGCUACAGCUGAAUGGAUUCUAUUCUGACCAAUACACACAGAAAGAGAUCACAGACUCCCUACCUUAGAAGAAGGGAGGUGGUAGAUGAAAUGAACUGUAUGAAGAGCCACUAGCCUGGCCCACACACAGAAGAAGGACUGGCCCGUCUUCUUGAAGCCCAUGCUCUGGUAGAGGGCCAUAGCAGAGAGCUGGAUGGUGCCGGUGUCCAGGAUAACUUCACUGUAGCCCUGGUCCCGGGCAAACUGGAGGACAGUCCUGACCAGGGCUUUUGCUAUCCCCU